AUACGUAGGGGGCGAGCGUUGUCCGGAAUGAUUGGGCGUAAAGGGCGCGUAGGCGGCGCGGUAAGUCUGGAGUGAAAGUCCUGCUUUCAAGGUGGGAAUUGCUUUGGAUACUGCCGCGCUUGAGUGCAGGAGAGGUUAUCGGAAUUCCCGGUGUAGCGGUGAAAUGCGUAGAGAUCAGGAGGAACACCGGUGGCGAAGGCGGCUUACUGGGCGUUUACUGACGCUGAGGAUCGAAAGCGUGGGGAGCAAACAGGAGUUGAUACCCUGGUAGUCCACGCUGGAAACGAUGAUUACUAGGUGUGGGGGGACUGACCCCUUCCGUGCCGCAGUUAACACAAUAAGUAAUUCACCUGGGGAGUACGGCCGCAAGGUUGAAACUCAAAUGAAUUGACGGGG
Molecule: ribosomal RNA, 396 nt
Filed under: uncultured bacterium
Lineage: Bacteria
Description: partial 16S ribosomal RNA
Rfam family: Bacterial small subunit ribosomal RNA
Source: RNAcentral